RNAcentral lists this ribosomal RNA (261 nucleotides) under uncultured archaeon. RNAcentral's name for it is "partial 16S ribosomal RNA". It matches the Rfam family "Archaeal small subunit ribosomal RNA", at positions 748 to 1009 of the family's 1478-position model. The record is from RNAcentral.
UAGGCGUAAAUGAUGCGAGUUAAGUGUGGGGCAUCUACGAGAUGGCCCUGUGCUGUAGGGUAGCCGUUAAACUCGCUGCCUGGGGAGUACGGUCGCAAGGCUGAAACUUAAAGGAAUUGGCGGGGGAGCACAACAACGGGUGGAGCUUGCGGUUUAAAUUGGACUCAACGCCGGAAAACUCACCGGGGGCGACAGCAAUAUGUAGGUCAAGCUAAAGACUUUACCAGAAUCGCUGAGAGGAGGUGCAUGGCGUAGUCGUGU